GGGAGGGGGGGCAAGCGUUGUUCAGAAUUACUGGGCGUAAAGGGCGCGUAGGCGGCCUGCCAAGUCAGGGGGUGAAAGGGCCCGGGCUCAACCCGGGAAUUGCCCUUGAAACUGGCAAGCUAGAGUCCGAGAGAGGAUGGCGGAAUUCCCAGUGUAGAGGUGAAAUUCGUAGAUAUUGGGAAGAACACCGGUGGCGAAGGCGGCCAUCUGGCUCGGUACUGACGCUGAGGCGCGAAAGCGUGGGGAGCAAACAGGAUUAGAUACCCUGGUAGUCCACGCCGUAAACGAUGUGUGCUAGACGUUGGAGGUCUUAGGCCUUCGGUGUCGCAGCUAACGCGUUAAGCGCACCGCCUGGGGAGUACGGCCGCAAGGUUA
Molecule: ribosomal RNA, 375 nt
Filed under: uncultured organism
Description: partial 16S ribosomal RNA
Rfam family: Bacterial small subunit ribosomal RNA
Source: RNAcentral